GAUGAACGCUGGCGGCGUGCCUAAUACAUGCAAGUCGAGCGAACAGACGAGGAGCUUGCUCCUCUGACGUUAGCGGCGGACGGGUGAGUAACACGUGGAUAACCUACCUAUAAGACUGGGAUAACUUCGGGAAACCGGAGCUAAUACCGGAUAAUAUAUUGAACCGCAUGGUUCAAUAGUGAAAGACGGUUUUGCUGUCACUUAUAGAUGGAUCCGCGCCGCAUUAGCUAGUUGGUAAGGUAACGGCUUACCAAGGCAACGAUGCGUAGCCGACGUGAGAGGCUGAUCGGCCACACUGGAACUGAGACACGGUCCAGGCUCCUACGGGAGGCAGCAGUAGGGAAUGUUCCGCAAUGGGCGAAAGCCUGACGGAGCAACGCCGCGUGAGUGAUGAAGGUCUUCCGAGCGUAAAACUCUGUUAUUAGGGAAGAACAAAUGUGUAAGUAACUAUGCACGUCUUGACGGUACCUGAUCAGAAAGCCACGGCUAACUACGUG
This 497-nucleotide ribosomal RNA is filed under the name uncultured bacterium. RNAcentral's name for it is "partial 16S ribosomal RNA". It matches the Rfam family "Bacterial small subunit ribosomal RNA", at positions 28 to 507 of the family's 1533-position model. The record is from RNAcentral.